AACUUUCAGCAACGGAUCAAUUGGCUCUCGCAUCGAUGAAGAACGCAGCGAAAUGCGAUAAGUAAUGUGAAUUGCAGAAUUCAGUGAAUCAUCGAAUCUUUGAACGCACCUUGCACCCUUUGGCAUUCCGAAGGGUAUGCUCGUUUGAGUGUCAUUGUACUCUCACACUCCCGAUGCUUUUGGAUUGGGAGUGGUGGACUUGGGUGUUGCUGCUUUACUGUGGCUCACCUCAAAUGGAGUAGUGCAACUCUUGGUUGGACAUAGUACGGCGUGAUAAGUGUCUUCGCCGGCGCCUCAUUAGAGGGUGGCCGAUCGGGAGCUCUGUGCUUCAAACCGUCUUCGGACAACAUCUGACAACUUGACCUCAAAUCGAGUAGGACUACCCGCUGAACUUAAGCAUAUCAAUAAGCGGAGGCU
This 417-nucleotide unclassified non-coding RNA is filed under the name uncultured Sebacina. RNAcentral describes it as "sequence contains ITS2". The stretch from base 1 to 154 matches the Rfam family "5.8S ribosomal RNA". Lineage: Eukaryota; Fungi; Basidiomycota; Agaricomycetes; Sebacinales; Sebacinaceae. The record is from RNAcentral.